RNAcentral lists this ribosomal RNA (191 nucleotides) under Scrippsiella hangoei. RNAcentral describes it as "partial Eukaryotic small subunit ribosomal RNA". It matches the Rfam family "Eukaryotic small subunit ribosomal RNA", at positions 1317 to 1520 of the family's 1831-position model. Lineage: Eukaryota; Dinophyceae; Peridiniales; Peridiniaceae. The record is from RNAcentral.
GGUGAAACCUGGAAGCUGACCAGACCAAACUUGGCUGGACACUGGUCUUUCUUGCUUCGCCUUUGUGGCGAAGGCCUCUUCUUAGAAGGACUCUUGAGGAAAACUCGAGGGAAGCUGUCGGCAAUAACAGGUCUGUUAUGCCCUUCGAUGUUCUGGGCGGCACGCGUGCUACAAUGGGGGGGAGAAAGAGU